CAGGUGCUGAUAUGCCUGUAACUAGUAAAUCCGCAAUGCAUACACCCAACAACAGUGGAUUUCUCAAUCUUACAGAUGAGGCCGAGCACAGUCUAAUGGCUAACAGUAAGAUUGUUAUCGAUGGAAUAGCAUGUUCAGUGUCUCCACUAGCCUCUGGGCCAUAAGAAUUUGUUAUCGUGAAAUUUCCGUAAUUAUCGUAGUCGAAAUCAUGACCUCCAGGUUCAAGACUUCCACCUCCAUCAUAAGAAUUUUCGUUAAGAAGUGUGUAAUGCAAAACUUGGGUUUUGAUAUUGCCUUGGCUUACGAUAUUAAUAUUGCUAUCGACUGUGGCUUCUAGUUGUUGGUGUCGACGCCAUGUUUCCAGAUGAGUGAAAUCGACUUUUUUCCGCCCAACUUCAUAUAAAAAAAUGGCCUUGCUAAAUUUUUGCGGCGUAAUUUCGUUCCGUAGUUUAAAGCAAAAAAAUCGAUACUCCGAUUCUUGAAUGUAUGUGGAUAUCAAAUAAGCAGUUUCACAUGUGAAAAAAUAGACAACCUAAUAUUCCCAUUCAUAUUCGCAAAGUGAAGCGAACUAUAAAGAUGAAUAAUUAAAAAAAAAAAUAAAAAGAAAGCGUCUGAGGCAUUUUCUCAUGAAU
Long non-coding RNA from Drosophila nasuta, 632 nucleotides. RefSeq lists it as uncharacterized. The record is from RefSeq and is a predicted model, not a curated record. The transcript is spliced from 3 exons. Lineage: Eukaryota; Metazoa; Arthropoda; Insecta; Diptera; Drosophilidae.